Molecule: ribosomal RNA, 257 nt
Filed under: uncultured prokaryote
Description: partial 16S ribosomal RNA
Rfam family: Bacterial small subunit ribosomal RNA
Source: RNAcentral
UAACACGUAGGGGGCGAGCGUUGUCCGGAAUUAUUGGGCGUAAAGAGCUCGUAGGCGGUUUGUCGCGUCUGUCGUGAAAGUCCGGGGCUUAACUCCGGAUCUGCGGUGGGUACGGGCAGACUAGAGUGCAGUAGGGGAGACUGGAAUUCCUGGUGUAGCGGUGGAAUGCGCAGAUAUCAGGAGGAACACCGAUGGCGAAGGCAGGUCUCUGGGCUGUAACUGACGCUGAGGAGCGAAAGCAUGGGGAGCGAACAGGA